CCUACGGGUGGCAGCAGUGAGGAAUAUUGGUCAAUGGACGAGAGUCUGAACCAGCCAAGUAGCGUGAAGGAUGACUGCCCUAUGGGUUGUAAACUUCUUUUAUAUGGGAAUAAAAUGUUGCACGUGUGGGAUUUUGUAUGUACAAUAUGAAUAAGGAUCGGCUAACUCCGUGCCAGCAGCCGCGGUAAUACGGGGGAUCCGAGCGUUAUCCGGAUUUAUUGGGUUUAAAGGGAGCGUAGGUGGAUUGUUAAGUCAGUUGUGAGAGUUUGCGGCUCAACCGUAAAAUUGCAGUUGAAACUGGCAGUCUGGAGUACAGUAGAGGUGGGCGGAAUUCGUGGUGUAGCGGUGAAAUGCUUAGAUAUCACGAAGAACUCCGAUUGCGAAGGCAGCUGACUGGACUGCAACUGACACUGAGGCUCGAAAGUGUGGGUAUCAAACAGGAGUAGAUACCCCAGUAGUC
RNAcentral lists this ribosomal RNA (460 nucleotides) under uncultured bacterium. Its description in RNAcentral is "partial 16S ribosomal RNA". It matches the Rfam family "Bacterial small subunit ribosomal RNA", at positions 338 to 795 of the family's 1533-position model. The record is from RNAcentral.